CCUACGGGAGGCAGCAGUAGGGAAUCUUCCGCAAUGGACGAAAGUCUGACGGAGCAACGCCGCGUGAACGAUGAAGGCCUUCGGGUCGUAAAGUUCUGUUGUUAGGGAAGAACAAGUGCUAGUUAAAUAAGCUGGCACCUUGACGGUACCUAACCAGAAAGCCACGGCUAACUACGUGCCAGCAGCCGCGGUAAUACGUAGGUGGCAAGCGUUGUCCGGAAUUAUUGGGCGUAAAGCGCGCGCAGGCGGUUUCUUAAGUCUGAUGUGAAAGCCCCCGGCUCAACCGGGGAGGGUCAUUGGAAACUGGGAAACUUGAGUGCAGAAGAGGAAAGUGGAAUUCCAAGUGUAGCGGUGAAAUGCGUAGAGAUUUGGAGGAACACCAGUGGCGAAGGCGACUUUCUGGUCUGUAACUGACGCUGAGGCGCGAAAGCGUGGGGAGCAAACAGGAUUAGAUACCCUGGUAGUCCACGCUGUAAACGAUGAGUGCUAAGUGUUAGAGGGUUUCCGCCCUUUUAGUGCUGAAGUUAACGCAUUAAGCACUCCGCCUGGGGAAGCGGUCGCAAGACUGAACUCAAAGGAUUGACGGCUGNGAGNGCCGACGACGACGACGAGGGAGGAGG
This 620-nucleotide ribosomal RNA is filed under the name uncultured bacterium. RNAcentral's name for it is "bacterial SSU rRNA". It matches the Rfam family "Bacterial small subunit ribosomal RNA", at positions 338 to 951 of the family's 1533-position model. The record is from RNAcentral.